This 23-nucleotide non-coding RNA is filed under the name Rattus norvegicus (Norway rat). Lineage: Eukaryota; Metazoa; Chordata; Mammalia; Rodentia; Muridae. The record is from RNAcentral.
AAACAGCUUACUGCUCCAACCCU